UACGGAGGGUGCGAGCGUUGUCCGGAAUCACUGGGCGUAAAGGGCGCGUAGGCGGCGCGGAUAGUCGGCGGUGAAAGCCCGGAGCUCAACUCCGGGUCGGCCGUCGAUACUUCCGGGCUUGAGCACUGUAGAGGCAGAUGGAAUUCCGGGUGUAGCGGUGGAAUGCGUAGAGAUCCGGAAGAACACCGGUGGCGAAGGCAGUCUGCUGGGCAGUUGCUGACGCUGAUGCGCGACAGCGUGGGGAGCAAACAGG
Molecule: ribosomal RNA, 253 nt
Filed under: uncultured bacterium
Lineage: Bacteria
Description: partial 16S ribosomal RNA
Rfam family: Bacterial small subunit ribosomal RNA
Source: RNAcentral